Molecule: ribosomal RNA, 567 nt
Filed under: Aodingus hainanensis
Lineage: Eukaryota; Metazoa; Arthropoda; Insecta; Hemiptera; Delphacidae
Description: eukaryotic LSU rRNA
Rfam family: Eukaryotic large subunit ribosomal RNA
Source: RNAcentral
UUAAGUCUUGACGAGUAAGAGGGUCGCGGCGGUGAGCGCAGAAGGGUCAGGGCGAGAGCCUGCCUGGAGCCGCCGUCGGUGCAGAUCUUGGUGGUAGUAGCAAAUACUCUAGCGAGGGCCUGGAGGACUGACGUGGAGAAGGGUUUCUUGUGAACAGCCGUUGCACAAGAGUCAGUCGACCCUGAGCCCUAGGAGAAAUCCAAUGUCGAUGGGUAGCUUGACAAAUAAAAGUGCAUACACACUAAAAAUGUGUUUUGCGUCUUAAAAAUUGAACAGCUCCUGUCGGGCAAAAGGGAAUCCGGUUCCUAUUCCGGAACCCGGCUGCGUAACCGCCACUUUGCGGGCACUUGCUUGCGAGCGCUCGUCGGGGUAACCCAAACUGGCCUGGAGACGCCGGCGGGGGGUCUGGAAAGAGUUUUCUUUUCUUUAUAAGCGUUCGAGUACCCUGGAAUCCUAUAGCAGGGAGAUAGGGUUUGGAACGCGAAGAGCACCGCAGUUGCGGCGGUGUCCGGACCUUCCCCCCGGACCUUGAAAAUCCAGGUGAGGGCCACGCGGAAGUCGCGCCGG